CCGGCGAGCUCAAGAGGACUCCCUGUCUGUUGGGUCUUGUUCGGCUGUCGCGCAGUGUGACGUUAGUGCUGGACAAAUCAUGUCAAAGCAAUGUCGCAAAAGUGGGAAGCGUCCACAUGAUGUAAUCCCACGUUCAUCAGGCAACAGGCCACAGACGGCGAGACACAACGGAACAGGCGCCAGGAACCGUCACAGGAGCUGCGCAUCUCGUCAACACUCGUCUUUGGACCGAAUCAAAGAAAUAGACAGGCGAAGGCGACAUUGUUGUGCACAGUUAAGAUGGAGGUUCUUCUGGGAGACCGCAGCUGCGAGGGCACACGCACGCGCACGCAGGUGACUUUGAAGUUGCAAGCCAGAGUUCUCGGAGACCAAGUGCUGUCCUGCGGCCGGAAGUCGAAUUCACCAGGAGAGCGAGGAGGAGCAGGCAGCCUCCGGUGCCAGUCCAGACUCGGGUGCAAAGAGUUCCAGAGAGGAAUUCAGGGGAAUACUGAGUCCCAGCAUCAGCUGCAAGACAGAAGCAGCAACGCGUGUCAGAUCCAGGAAGCAUCCCGACAACAUGACCGGACCACCUCCACCGGCUGCCGUCACUGAGGAGGGGCAGAGCUUCUGACUCAUCUCUGACAGAAAGUCCAGCCACUGUGCAGAGAACUUUGUCUCUGAGGACACUGCCCUGAUCCAGAGCUGCAAGUUAAGACCAUUUUCAUAGUCAAUAGUGGGGUGGACAAAUUCUCCAUGUCUGACUGUAGUUUUAUAAACAAUUUAAAAAGUAAGACAAUGUAUGGUGUUUUGAAAAGUCCUAUUUUAAUUGCUCAAGCUGUUGGUGUGAACAUGUGACCUUGAUGUGUCCUUCGUGAAAAGCUGCCCAACUUCUGCUGUAGCCUCAGCUUAAUGUGGACUGUACCAAGC
Molecule: long non-coding RNA, 906 nt
Organism: Synchiropus splendidus (mandarinfish)
Lineage: Eukaryota; Metazoa; Chordata; Actinopteri; Syngnathiformes; Callionymidae
Exons: 3
Source: RefSeq, a predicted model, not a curated record